AGUGAACGCUGGCGGUAGGCCUAACACAUGCAAGUCGAACGGCAGCACAGGAGAGCUUGCUCUCUGGGUGGCGAGUGGCGGACGGGUGAGGAAUACAUCGGAAUCUACUCUGUCGUGGGGGAUAACGUAGGGAAACUUACGCUAAUACCGCAUACGACCUACGGGUGAAAGCAGGGGACCUUCGGGCCUUGCGCGAUUGAAUGAGCCGAUGUCGGAUUAGCUAGUUGGCGGGGUAAAGGCCCACCAAGGCGACGAUCCGUCGCUGGUCUGAGAGGAGGGUCGGGCAAGCUGGAGGGGAGACACGGUCCAGGCUCCUACGGGGGGCAGCAGUGGGGAAUAUUGGACAAUGGGCGGAAGCCUGCUCCAGCCAUUCCGCGUGGGUGAAGAAGGCCUUGGGGUUGUAAAGCCCUUUUGUUGGGAAAGAAAUCCAGCUGGCUAAUACCCGGUUGAGAUGACGGUACCCAAAGAAUAAGCACCGGCUAACUUCGUGCCAGCCGCCGCCGUAA
Molecule: ribosomal RNA, 506 nt
Filed under: uncultured bacterium
Lineage: Bacteria
Description: partial 16S ribosomal RNA
Rfam family: Bacterial small subunit ribosomal RNA
Source: RNAcentral